RNAcentral lists this ribosomal RNA (570 nucleotides) under uncultured Arthrobacter sp. RNAcentral's name for it is "bacterial SSU rRNA". It matches the Rfam family "Bacterial small subunit ribosomal RNA", at positions 338 to 918 of the family's 1533-position model. Lineage: Bacteria; Bacillati; Actinomycetota; Actinomycetes; Micrococcales; Micrococcaceae. The record is from RNAcentral.
CCUACGGGAGGCAGCAGUGGGGAAUAUUGCACAAUGGGCGCAAGCCUGAUGCAGCGACGCCGCGUGAGGGAUGAAGGCCUUCGGGUUGUAAACCUCUUUCAGUAGGGAAGAAGCGUAAGUGACGGUACCUGCAGAUGAAGCGCCGGCUAACUACGUGCCAGCAGCCGCGGUAAUACGUAGGGCGCAAGCGUUAUCCGGAAUUAUUGGGCGUAAAGAGCUCGUAGGCGGUUUGUCGCGUCUGCCGUGAAAGUCCGGGGCUUAACUCCGGAUCUGCGGUGGGUACGGGCAGACUUGAGUGAUGUAGGGGAGACUGGAAUUCCUGGUGUAGCGGUGAAAUGCGCAGAUAUCAGGAGGAACACCGAUGGCGAAGGCAGGUCUCUGGGCAUUAACUGACGCUGAGGAGCGAAAGCAUGGGGAGCGAACAGGAUUARAUACCCUGGUAGUCCAUGCCGUAAACGUUGGGCACUAGGUGUGGGGGACAUUCCACGUUUUCCGCGCCGUAKCUAACGCAUUAAGUGCCCCGCCUGGGGAGUACGGCCGCAAGGCUAAAACUCAAAUGAAUUGACGGGG